CAGCAGCCGCGGUAAUACGGAGGAUCCAAGCGUUAUCCGGAAUUACUGGGCGUAAAGCGUGCGUAGGUGGUGGUUUAAGUCUGCUGUGAAAGCCCUGGGCUCAACCUGGGAAUUGCAGUGGAUACUGGGUCACUAGAGUGCGGUAGAGGGUAGUGGAAUUUCCGGUGUAGCAGUGAAAUGCGUAGAGAUCGGAAGGAACAUCUGUGGCGAAGGCGACUACCUGGGCCAGCACUGACACUGAGGCACGAAAGCGUGGGGAGCAAACAGGAUUAGAUACCCCCGUAGUCCCUGUCUCUUAUAC
This 301-nucleotide ribosomal RNA is filed under the name uncultured bacterium. RNAcentral describes it as "partial 16S ribosomal RNA". It matches the Rfam family "Bacterial small subunit ribosomal RNA", at positions 509 to 807 of the family's 1533-position model. The record is from RNAcentral.